AGUGAACGCUGGCGGUAGGCCUAACACAUGCAAGUCGAACGGCAGCACAGUAAGAGCUUGCUCUUACGGGUGGCGAGUGGCGGACGGGUGAGGAAUACAUCGGAAUCUACUUUUUCGUGGGGGAUAACGUAGGGAAACAUACGCUAAUACCGCAUAUGAUCUACGGGUGAAAGCAGGGGAUCUUCGGACCUUGCGCGAUAGAAUGAGCCGAUGUCGGAUUAGCUAGUUGGCGGGGUAAAGGCCCACCAAGGCGACGAUCCGUAGCUGGUCUGAGAGGAUGAUCAGCCACACUGGAACUGAGACACGGUCCAGACUCCUACGGGAGGCAGCAGUGGGGAAUAUUGGGCAAUGGGCGAAAGCCUGAUCCAGCCAUACCGCGUGGGUGAAGAAGGCCUUCGGGUUGUAAAGCCCUUUUGUUGGGAAAGAAAAGCAGCAGGUUAAUACCCCGCUGUUCUGACGGUACCCAAAGAAUAAGCACCGGCUAACUUCGUG
This 492-nucleotide ribosomal RNA is filed under the name uncultured bacterium. RNAcentral's name for it is "partial 16S ribosomal RNA". It matches the Rfam family "Bacterial small subunit ribosomal RNA", at positions 29 to 507 of the family's 1533-position model. The record is from RNAcentral.